This 217-nucleotide ribosomal RNA is filed under the name Lentisphaeria bacterium. RNAcentral's name for it is "partial 16S ribosomal RNA". It matches the Rfam family "Bacterial small subunit ribosomal RNA", at positions 1 to 229 of the family's 1533-position model. Lineage: Bacteria; Pseudomonadati; Lentisphaerota; Lentisphaeria. The record is from RNAcentral.
UUUACGGAGAGUUUGAUCCUGGCUCAGAACGAACGCUGGCGGCAUGGAUUAGGCAUGCAAGUCGAACGAGGUAGCAAUACCUAGUGGCGGAAGGGUGAGGAACGCGUGAGUAAUCUGCCCUCAAGUUGGGAAUAACAGUUGGAAACGACUGCUAAUACCGAAUGUGGCUAUUAGACCGCAUGGUUUUUUGGCUAAAGAUUUAUUGCUUGAGGAUGAG